AUUAUUAAAGGGCCGCGGUAUUCCUGACCGUGCGAAGGUAGCAUAAUCAUUAGUCUUUUAAUUGAAGGCUUGUAUGAAAGGUUGGACGAAAAAUGGACUGUUUCAAAUAAAAAGAUUGAAUUUAACUUUUAAGUGAAAAGGCUUAAAUAAAUUAAAAAGACGAUAAGACCCUAUAAAUCUUUACAUUUGUUAUUAUAGGUUUUGGAUUGUGUGUGUAAAAAAAAAUAUAAUAAAAAUGUUGUGUUGGGGCAACAGUGAUAUAGUAAUAUUAAUUGUUAAAAGUAAAAACAAAUAUAUUUGUUAAAUAAAGAUCCUUUUUAAAGAUUUAAAGAUUAAGUUACUUUAGGGAUAACAGCGUUAUUUUUUCUGAGAGUUCUUAUCGAAGAAAAAGAUUGCGAC
RNAcentral lists this ribosomal RNA (399 nucleotides) under Clibanarius antillensis. Its description in RNAcentral is "partial 16S ribosomal RNA". It matches the Rfam family "Archaeal large subunit ribosomal RNA", at positions 1996 to 2593 of the family's 2987-position model. The record is from RNAcentral. Lineage: Eukaryota; Metazoa; Arthropoda; Malacostraca; Decapoda; Diogenidae.